GCUUAACUAUGAAACUGCCAUUGAUACUGCAGGUCUUGAGUAAAGUAGAAGUGGCUGGAAUAAGUAGUGUAGCGGUGAAAUGCAUAGAUAUUACUUAGAACACCAAUUGCGAAGGCAGGUCACUAUGUUUUAACUGACGCUGAUGGACGAAAGCGUGGGGAGCGAACAGGAUUAGAUACCCUGGUAGUCCACGCCGUAAACGAUGCUAACUCGUUUUUGGGGCUUCGGCUUCAGAGACUAAGCGAAAGUGAUAAGUUAGCCACCUGGGGAGUACGUUCGCAAGAAUGAAACUCAAAGGAAUUGACGGGGGCCCGCACAAGCGGUGGAUUAUGUGGUUUAAUUCGAUGAUACGCGAGGAACCUUACCAAGGCUUAAAUGGGAAUUGACAGGUUUAGAAAUAGACUUUUCUUCGGACAAUUUUCAAGGUGCUGCAUGGUUGUCGUCAGCUCGUGCCGUGAGGUGUUAGGUUAAGUCCUGCAACGAGCGCAACCCCUGUCACUAGUUGCCAUCAUUCAGUUGGGGACUCUAGUGAGACUGCCUACGCAAGUAGAGAGGAAGGUGGGGAUGACGUCAAAUCAUCACGGCCCUUACGCCUUGGGCCACACACGUAAUACAAUGGCCGGUACAGAG
RNAcentral lists this ribosomal RNA (630 nucleotides) under uncultured bacterium. RNAcentral describes it as "bacterial SSU rRNA". It matches the Rfam family "Bacterial small subunit ribosomal RNA", at positions 607 to 1244 of the family's 1533-position model. The record is from RNAcentral.